Molecule: ribosomal RNA, 269 nt
Filed under: uncultured prokaryote
Description: partial 16S ribosomal RNA
Rfam family: Bacterial small subunit ribosomal RNA
Source: RNAcentral
UACGGAGGGUGCGAGCGUUAUCCGGAAUCACUGGGCGUAAAGGGCGCGUAGGCGGUUUGUUAAGUCUGAUGUUAAAGACUGGGGCUCAACCCCGGCAUGGCGUUGGAUACUGGCAGGCUUGACGGUUGGAGAGGCGAGUGGAAUUGCCAGUGUAGCGGUGGAAUGCGUAGAUACAGGUAGGAACACCUAUUGCGAAGGCAGCUCGCUGGACAAUUCGUGACGCUGAGGCGCGAAAGUGUGGGGAGCAAACCGGAUUAGAUACCCGGGUA